AUGGUGUCUGGCUCCGGUGUGUCCGCGCGUCGCGUGGUGGUGGAUGCGCGCCACCACAUGCUGGGUCGCCUUGCGUCGAUCGUGGCCAAGGAGCUGCUCAACGGGCAGCGCGUGGUGGUGGUCCGGUGCGAGGAGAUGUGCAUCUCCGGCGGGCUGGUCCGUCAGAAGAUGAAGUACCUCCGCUUCCUCCGCAAGCGGAUGAACACCAAGCCCUCGCACGGCCCCAUCCACUUCCGCGCUCCCUCGCGCAUUUUCUGGCGCACCGUGCGCGGCAUGAUCCCGCACAAGACGCCCCGCGGCGAGGCCGCACUCGCCAGGCUCAAGGCUUUCGAGGGCGUCCCGCCGCCUUACGAUCGCACCAAGCGUAUGGUCAUUCCCGACGCGCUAAAGGUUCUGAGGCUGCAGCCGGGGCACAGGUUCUGUCUGCUCGGCGAGCUUUCCAAGGAGGUCGGAUGGAACUACCAUGAAACUAUCAAGGAACUGGAGGAGAAGAGGAAGGAGAAGGCAAAGGUGUCGUAUGACAGGAGGAAGCAACUGGCCAAGCUGCGCUUCAAGGCUGAGAAGGCUGCCGAGGAGAAGCUGGGUUCUCAGUUGGAUAUCCUGGCACCAAUCAAAUACUAG
This 621-nucleotide ribosomal RNA is filed under the name Triticum aestivum (bread wheat). RNAcentral describes it as "partial small subunit ribosomal RNA". Lineage: Eukaryota; Viridiplantae; Streptophyta; Magnoliopsida; Poales; Poaceae. The record is from RNAcentral.